GACGAACGCUGGCGGCGUGCUUAACACAUGCAAGUCGAACGGAAAGGCCCUGCUUUUGUGGGGUGCUCGAGUGGCGAACGGGUGAGUAACACGUGAGUAACCUGCCCUUGACUUUGGGAUAACUUCAGGAAACUGGGGCUUAUACCGGAUAGGAGCUCCUGCUGCAUGGUGGGGGUUGGUAAGUUUCGGCGGUUGGGGAUGGACUCGCGGCUUAUCAGCUUGUUGGUGGGGUAGUGGCUUACCAAGGCUUUGACGGGUAGCCGGCCUGAGAGGGUGACCGGCCACAUUGGGACUGAGAUACGGCCCAGACUCCUACGGGAGGCAGCAGUGGGGAAUAUUGCACAAUGGGCGGAAGCCUGAUGCAGCAACGCCGCGUGCGGGAUGACGGCCUUCGGGUUGUAAACCGCUUUCGCCUGUGACGAAGCGUGAGUGACGGUAAUGGGUAAAGAAGCACCGGCUAACUACGUG
RNAcentral lists this ribosomal RNA (468 nucleotides) under uncultured bacterium. Its description in RNAcentral is "partial 16S ribosomal RNA". It matches the Rfam family "Bacterial small subunit ribosomal RNA", at positions 28 to 507 of the family's 1533-position model. The record is from RNAcentral.